This 254-nucleotide ribosomal RNA is filed under the name uncultured bacterium. Its description in RNAcentral is "partial 16S ribosomal RNA". It matches the Rfam family "Bacterial small subunit ribosomal RNA", at positions 524 to 776 of the family's 1533-position model. The record is from RNAcentral.
UACGGGGGGGGCAAGCGUUGUUCGGAAUUACUGGGCGUAAAGGGCGCGUAGGCGGCCUGCUAAGUCGGACGUGAAAUCCCUCGGCUCAACCGGGGAACUGCGUCCGAUACUGGCGAGGCUUGAAUCCGGGAGAGGGAUGUGGAAUUCCAGGUGUAGCGGUGAAAUGCGUAGAUAUCUGGAGGAAUACCGGUGGCGAAGGCGGCAUCCUGGACCGACAUUGACGCUGAGGAGCGAAAGCUAGGGGAGCAAACAGG